Molecule: transfer RNA, 69 nt
Filed under: Marmota monax (woodchuck)
Lineage: Eukaryota; Metazoa; Chordata; Mammalia; Rodentia; Sciuridae
Also listed under: 1 other name
Rfam family: tRNA
About the family: Transfer RNA (tRNA) molecules are approximately 80 nucleotides in length. Their secondary structure includes four short double-helical elements and three loops (D, anti-codon, and T loops).
Source: Rfam by way of RNAcentral
GGGAUUGUGGCUCAGUGGUAGAGUGCUCGCCUCGCAUGCAUGAGGCACUGGGUUCAAUCCUCAGUACCA